UACGUAGGGGGCAAGCGUUGUCCGGAAUCAUUGGGCGUAAAGCGCGCGUAGGCGGCCCGGUAAGUCCGUUGUGAAAGUCAAAGGCUCAACCUUUGAACGCCGAUGGAUACUGCCGGGCUAGAGUCCGGAAGAGGCGAGUGGAAUUCCUGGUGUAGCGGUGGAAUGCGCAGAUAUCAGGAAGAACACCAAUGGCGAAAGCAGCUCUCUGGGACGGUACUGACGCUGAGACGCGAAAGCGUGGGGAGCGAACAGG
Molecule: ribosomal RNA, 253 nt
Filed under: uncultured bacterium
Lineage: Bacteria
Description: partial 16S ribosomal RNA
Rfam family: Bacterial small subunit ribosomal RNA
Source: RNAcentral